Non-coding RNA from Protopterus annectens (West African lungfish), 82 nucleotides. The record is from the annotation of a RefSeq genome assembly. NCBI's taxonomy places the organism in Eukaryota, Metazoa, Chordata, Ceratodontiformes, Protopteridae.
GUAAUUGUGGCCGAGUGGUUAAGGAGAUGGACUAGAAAUCCACUGGGGUUUCCCCACACAGGUUCAAAUCCUGUCAGUUAUG